UACGUAGGUGGCGAGCGUUGUCCGGAUUUACUGGGCGUAAAGCGCGCGCAGGCGGGCUGGUCAGUCCGGGGUGAAAUCUCACGGCUCAACCGUGAGCGGUCCCCGGAUACUGCCAGUCUUGAGGUGUCUAGAGGAGAGCGGAAUUCCCGGUGUAGUGGUGGAAUGCGUAGAUAUCGGGAAGAACACCAGUGGCGAAAGCGGAUCUCUGGACAGUCUCUGACACUGAGGCACGAAAGCUAGGGGAGCAAACGGG
Molecule: ribosomal RNA, 253 nt
Filed under: uncultured bacterium
Lineage: Bacteria
Description: partial 16S ribosomal RNA
Rfam family: Bacterial small subunit ribosomal RNA
Source: RNAcentral